Molecule: ribosomal RNA, 429 nt
Filed under: Verrucomicrobiota bacterium
Lineage: Bacteria; Pseudomonadati; Verrucomicrobiota
Description: Verrucomicrobia bacterium partial 16S ribosomal RNA
Rfam family: Bacterial small subunit ribosomal RNA
Source: RNAcentral
UAGGGAAUCUUCGGCAAUGGGGGGAACCCUGACCGAGCAACGCCGCGUGAGUGAAGAAGGUUUUCGGAUCGUAAAGCUCUGUUGUUAAGGAAGAACGAGUGUGAGAAUGGAAAGUUCAUGCUGUGACGGUACUUAACCAGAAAGGGACGGCUAACUACGUGCCAGCGGCCGCGGUAAUACGUAGGUCCCGAGCGUUGUCCGGAUUUAUUGGGCGUAAAGCGAGCGCAGGCGGUUAGAAAAGUCUGAAGUGAAAGGCAGUGGCUCAACCAUUGUAGGCUUUGGAAACUGUUUAACUUGAGUGCAGAAGGGGAGAGUGGAAUUCCAUGUGUAGCGGUGAAAUGCGUAGAUAUAUGGAGGAACACCGGUGGCGAAAGCGGCUCUCUGGUCUGUAACUGACGCUGAGGCUCGAAAGCGUGGGGAGCGAACAGG